RNAcentral lists this ribosomal RNA (504 nucleotides) under uncultured bacterium. Its description in RNAcentral is "partial 16S ribosomal RNA". It matches the Rfam family "Bacterial small subunit ribosomal RNA", at positions 28 to 507 of the family's 1533-position model. The record is from RNAcentral.
GACGAACGCUGGCGGCGUGCUUAACACAUGCAAGUCGAACGGUGAAGCGCUUGCCUUUUUGGUGGGUGUGGAUGAGUGGCGAACGGGUGAGUAACACGUGAGUAACCUGCCCUCUUCUUCUGGAUAACCUCAUGAAAGUGGGGCUAAUACGGGGUAUUCCGGGUCUGUCGCAUGGCGGGUUUGGGAAAGAUUGCGCCUUUGGGUGUGGUCGGUGGGGGAUGGGCUCGCGGCCUAUCAGCUUGUUGGUGGGGUGAUGGCCUACCAAGGCGGUGACGGGUAGCCGGCCUGAGAGGGUGGACGGCCACACUGGGACUGAGACACGGCCCAGACUCCUGCGGGAGGCAGCAGUGGGGAAUCUUGCACAAUGGGCGCAAGCCUGAUGCAGCGACGCCGCGUGAGGGAUGGAGGCCUUCGGGUUGUGAACCUCUUUCGCCAGUGAAGCAGGCCUGCUCCUGUGUGGGUGGGUUGACGGUAGCUGGAUAAGAAGCGCCGGCUAACUACGUG